Molecule: long non-coding RNA, 3580 nt
Organism: Callorhinus ursinus (northern fur seal)
Lineage: Eukaryota; Metazoa; Chordata; Mammalia; Carnivora; Otariidae
Source: RefSeq, a predicted model, not a curated record
GGCUGCCCCACCCAGCAAGGCCAAUGCCACCUGCCCACGACCUCAGUGGGGACUUACACCCCAGCCCAGAGAAGCUGGGCCUGGGUAAAGGAAGGGGACUUAGGGUGAGGUCCAUCAUGGGGUGUGGGUGGGGCAGAGUCAAAGAAAAAGCGAAGUGCAGCGUUCAAAUCAUCCUACGGGUUGACAUUUCUGUACCCCCACCUCCAGUGGUGUAACCUGGCUAACAGCAGCCUGGAUCAGGCACAUAUGACACAAAGGCAGACUCAGAAAGCGCUCAAUGAUGCCACCAGAGAAUCUGGUUUCCCCACAAAGGGUGGGGCCGGGCACUGCCAGCUAAGCCCUAUCCUGACAGACACAGCCACGGGCAGCACAGAUUCUCUCGCUGAGGAAUGAGGAGGGCUGCGAGGACUCAAACCCUGGCUUGGCCACUUACCUGCUGGGAGACUUUGGGCAAGUUACCACUUUGGAGCCUCGGUUUCCUCUGCUGUGAAAUGGGGUGAUGUACCCCCAAACCUGCCGAUCCAGCAAAGAUGACAUGAGAUUAUGAAUGUACAGGGCCUGGCGCACAAUCAACGGCCACUAAUUGGUGGCUUCUUUUAUUCCUGGUUGACCACUCACUGCUCACUUAGCCUAUCUGAGCCAAGAGCCCCAGAGAUAACAGAUCUCUAUUUGACAGGUGGGGAAAUUGAGGCUCAGACACGUCAAAAGUCACCUGUCCCAGGUCCCAUUGUUGGGGGGGGGUACCCUCCGCCACCCCGUAACUCGUGAGGCAAAGUGGCCAAUAUAUGGCCCUGGGGUGGUGACCAAGGUGCUGGGGGAGAGUUUAGGUGUGGGCCUCUGAGACUUGUGAGCUCCUCCUAGUCCCCUAGGCAGAAAUGACAUCACCUGGCGCUUAGGUAGUCCUUCUCAGCUUAUCAAAGGGCUUUCUCAAACAGUCUCUCACGCUGUCUGUCCAUACCUAUCACCAGUGGCUGACAAGGUGAGAGCAAGGGCUCAGGCCCUAUUUCAAUGCCAAGUCCUGCUCCUGCCCCUUCCCACAGUGGGUCCCCCACCUCCUCUUCCAGGCCUUCUGCAGGCCACCCUGCAGGCCUGACCUGGCGAGGGCCAUCUGGAGAGGGAAGAGAGGCUUCUUGCUGGAUCAGGGGCAGGACCACCUGAGGAUGCCCAAGGCUCUGAAAGGCUUACCCUGUUCCCGGCCCUGCGAGCCCGGCCAGAGGGAGCAGAGCUGAGGGUCACCGCCUCCAUGACCCCCUCACCCCCGCAUCAUGACACACAUGCAGGCAGACAGGGAGAAGCCCUGGCUGGGAGGAGCCAGCACGUCCUGGCCUGAGACUCCACUCCCACGUCCGAGCCCACCCUCAGUCCCCUCGGCAUCCGCGGAGCAGGGCUCCCCACCCCAGACCAGGCCACUUCUGCAGGGUAAUUCUAGCACUGCUAUUCUUCGACAUGCUCUUAGCUAGCCCUCCCAACAGCCCACGAGGCAAGGCCCCUGUCAUCGUCACGAGCCUGUGCCAAGGGCACACAGACACGCUCCUAACACCAGGCAUGACGCCAUUAUCCCGAUGGCUCCUACCUCAGACUCCGGGCCCAAGACUUCCCAUGCAUCACCCCUGGAAUCCUCACAGCAACCGGUCCUGGUGGCCUACUGCUACCCCACAGUACAGCUGAGGAGACUGAAGCACAGACCACAAGCGACCCUCAUCCUACCGACCACUACCUCAUGGGCCACCAUGGCUGCCAGCUUCUGGGCCUCGCUCCUUGGCUCCCCACGCUGGGCAUCACCCUCCUACCGUCCUCCUACCCUCCUGGCCAGCGUCCCUGCCUGGCACUGCCCACUUAGCUCCAACCACUCUCCUGGCACCCCACCCCCACAACAUGCCUCCGGCAGCUUUUGAACUGCAAACAAAUGACUUGUGUCUGGGUCCCUGCAUAAGUUUACACAAUGACGGAAUGUGAACACUUCCCCGAAGAUGAGAGGAUGAAUUUUUCUUUACACUCAGAUCUCACUCCCAAAGGGAAGCAACAGUAACUUUAUGGGCUGUCGGGGAAAAGCCCCUGUUUUCCCCCAGUGAUGGGGCAGGUGGGGUAACUCCUCCUGGCCUCUAUCCCGAGAGCUGGCCUGGCCUGGGCACCUCCCCAACCUAGCCACCAUGCGCUGAGGUUAGCCUGCACACUCCCAGCGGGCGCUGAUGACCCCACCAGUCCUCCCCCAGCCUGGCUCAGCUGGAUAGGAAACUGGGAGCAAAUGUGUGAGCUCACUCUGGAAAUCCCCACGGGUGGCCAGGACGACACGAAGACCGAAGACUGCUCCAAAGUGGGUGGUUCAGACCCGAAGGGACGUGUGGAGUUGGGGGAGGAAGCCCAGAGAGUUCAUCUCCCCAGAUGCUGCACCACGGGGCAGGCAGGACGCUGGGGCCACCCCAAUAUUGCCACCACUCAUUCUGAACCAAUUAGAAGUGCCAGGUGGCUCAUUCAAGUCACCUGUUUUUGUUUCAGGAUUUUUUUUUUUUAAGUCUUAUUUAAGUAAUCUGUAUACCCAAUAUGGGGCUCAAACUUAUGACCCCAAGAUCGAGUCACAUGCCCUCCUGAGCCAGCCAGGCACCCUCGUUCAAGUCACCUGGACACGAACAGGUACGUGCACGCACAGACACACCCCCUUGACUUCUUCCUGUCCUUAUCUGCUCUCUCAUCUAGCAUGGUUGACAGGAACCCCGUGAAGAGUCUGGCCACCAGUAAAAACACCACCACUGAGGAAGAGCCAGACCCAGACCCCAGGGGCCUCCAUGAUGUAUUUGUGGUGUGACUAAUCCCUCCUGCGAGAAGAACAGAAGUCCCCUCCUGGGCAGAAAGAGAGAGAGAGAGUGUGUGUGUGUGUGUCACACCAUGUACAGCUGUAGCUCGCACAUGAGCGAGCCAGAUAGGAGUCAGCUGGUGGCUUAGCAGCAGGUAGGCACGAGGUUUUGGGGUCGGGCCUGGGAAUGACAGCCCAGGUUCAGUAUCAGGCUCUGCUGCUUUGUGCCAUGAGAGACACACUGAAGACGGGCCACAGUUUUCUGUUCAACAAAAAGACGGGAGUGUCACUCCAGCCCUUUAAAGUUAAAAGCAAACAAAAACAAAACCAGAAAAACCAACCAGAAACUACCACCUGCUCUCCUUCUGUCCUGCUAUCGUUCCCAGGCCAGGAGGCCGGGGUCCAGAAGUGAACAGGAUGGGAGCAACGGACACUGUCAGAAAACAGGAAGGGAGGGCAGCGGGUGGCCUGGGCUCCUGGGGACGGACAGCUGCUUCACUCCAUCCCACCCUUCUAGAACAGCCCCCUCACCUCCAUCCCCCGAGAGCUGGGCCAAUGUUCCUGAGCCCAACUCAAACCGGAGUCGUCCCUACUGGGGUCCCCCUGGCCUGGCGCUUGGCUAACACCAGGAGCAUGGGGUGCCUCGCACUGCCAGCAGCAGGGCCCACCCUGGGGCCUCUUGUCUAACCCAGGUUCCCACAGCCACAGAGGACCUUUCUUUUUUUUUUUUUGCGGGAGGGAAGCAGAUUAGGGGAGCCACAGGGAAUUAAAAACCUGUUAGUCCUUGGA